AUGAACGCUGGCGGCAUGCCUAAUACAUGCAAGUCGAACGAAGAAAUGUUGCUUGAAGGUGCUUGCACCGGAUAGUUGCUUUCUUAGUGGCGAACGGGUGAGUAACACGUAGGUAACCUGCCUAGUAGUUGGGAAUAACAAUGGGAAACCGUUGCUAAUACCGAAUAUGAAUUCGAAGGGCAUCCUUUGAAUUUGAAAGGGGCUUUCAAGCCUCGCUAUUAGAUGGACCUGCGGCGCAUUAGCUAGUUGGUGAGAUAACAGCUCACCAAGGCGAGGAUGCGUAGCCGACCUGAGAGGGUGAUCGGCCACAAUGGGACUGAGACACGGCCCAUACUCCUACGGGAGGCAGCAGUAGGGAGUUUUCGGCAAUGGGGGGAACCCUGACCGAGCAAUGCCGCGUGAGUUAUGAAGGUCUUAUGGAUCGUAAGGCUCUGUUGUAGGGGAUGAAACGUCUAGGGAGGAAAUGUCCUAGACUUGACAGUACCUUACCAGAAAGCCACGGCUAACUGCGUGCCAGCCGCUGC
Molecule: ribosomal RNA, 524 nt
Filed under: uncultured bacterium
Lineage: Bacteria
Description: bacterial SSU rRNA
Rfam family: Bacterial small subunit ribosomal RNA
Source: RNAcentral